CGGCAAAUAAAGUUAUGGUAAGAAUUGUUGCAGAAAGAGAGAUUGAAGAUCUAGACACGGAUAAUCGGAGCAAGCGGGCGGUAGGCAUUGUGUUUUCUUGUAAAAUCAUUGAUGACCAGAUUCCCUCGAGAGUGGUGAAAAGGCAUCAUGCGAGAGUGUGGUUUGAACGAGAGUAUUAAUAUUAUCAUUGGCAGUGAUGGCGUUUGUGUUUUAAUAUUAGGCUUAACUAAUUUACGUAUGUUAGCUUGUCAUUAGUUUCUUCUAAAUUUUUUAUCCACAUAAUGCCUCCUACAAUACAAACAGGAUCUCAAGCAAGCACGUCAGAUCGAGAUAGAAAACUAAGACCCGGAGAAAAGAGAUCUGAGUUAGUAUGUCGUAUGAAAUUUUGUAAUACUUUGCCUGAUAUUCCCUUUGAUCCAAAGUUCAUCACAUACCCUUUUGAGUCAAAUAGGUAAGCAUUUAUUAAAUAUUUUCUAAGAUUAAAAU
Limulus polyphemus (Atlantic horseshoe crab) is the source of this 486-nucleotide long non-coding RNA. RefSeq lists it as uncharacterized. Lineage: Eukaryota; Metazoa; Arthropoda; Merostomata; Xiphosura; Limulidae. The transcript is spliced from 3 exons. The record is from RefSeq and is a predicted model, not a curated record.